GGUUUGUGGCUCAGUGGUAGAGCGCUUGUCUCACACACGUGAAGCCCUGGGUUUGAGCCUCAGCACCA
Molecule: transfer RNA, 68 nt
Filed under: Marmota monax (woodchuck)
Lineage: Eukaryota; Metazoa; Chordata; Mammalia; Rodentia; Sciuridae
Description: tRNA.Val
Rfam family: tRNA (bases 5-65)
About the family: Transfer RNA (tRNA) molecules are approximately 80 nucleotides in length.
Source: RNAcentral